UAAGAGCUACCACACUGGGUCCACAG
RNAcentral lists this non-coding RNA (26 nucleotides) under Mus musculus (house mouse). Lineage: Eukaryota; Metazoa; Chordata; Mammalia; Rodentia; Muridae. The record is from RNAcentral.